UACGUAGGGGGCAAGCGUUGUCCGGAUUCAUUGGGCGUAAAGAGCGUGUAGGCGGCCAGGUAGGUCGGUUGUGAAAACUGGAGGCUCAACCUUCAGAGGUCGACCGAAACCAUCUGGCUAGAGUCCGGGAGAGGAGAGUGGAAUUCCUGGUGUAGCGGUGAAAUGCGCAGAUAUCAGGAAGAACACCCGUGGCGAAAGCGGCUCUCUGGACCGGUUCUGACGCUGAUGCGCGAAAGCGUGGGGAGCAAACGGG
Molecule: ribosomal RNA, 253 nt
Filed under: uncultured bacterium
Lineage: Bacteria
Description: partial 16S ribosomal RNA
Rfam family: Bacterial small subunit ribosomal RNA
Source: RNAcentral